Molecule: transfer RNA, 75 nt
Filed under: Chloroflexi bacterium RBG_19FT_COMBO_49_13
Lineage: Bacteria; Bacillati; Chloroflexota
Description: tRNA-Lys
Rfam family: tRNA
About the family: Transfer RNA (tRNA) molecules are approximately 80 nucleotides in length. Their secondary structure includes four short double-helical elements and three loops (D, anti-codon, and T loops). Further hydrogen bonds mediate the characteristic L-shaped molecular structure. tRNAs have two regions of fundamental functional importance: the anti-codon, which is responsible for specific mRNA codon recognition, and the 3' end, to which the tRNAs corresponding amino acid is attached (by aminoacyl-tRNA synthetases). tRNAs cope with the degeneracy of the genetic code in two manners: having more than one tRNA (with a specific anti-codon) for a particular amino acid; and 'wobble' base-pairing, i.e. permitting non-standard base-pairing at the 3rd anti-codon position.
Source: RNAcentral
GGGCGUGUAGCUCAAUGGUAGAGCAGUGGCCUUUUAAGCCAUUGGUUGAGCGUUCGAGCCGCUCCACGCUCACUA